Molecule: ribosomal RNA, 409 nt
Filed under: bacterium
Lineage: Bacteria
Description: partial 16S ribosomal RNA
Rfam family: Bacterial small subunit ribosomal RNA
Source: RNAcentral
UGGGGAAUAUUGCACAAUGGGCGAAAGCCUGAUGCAGCGACGCCGCGUGAGGGAUGACGGCCUUCGGGUUGUAAACCUCUUUCAGCAGGGACGAAGCGCAAGUGACGGUACCUGCAGAAGAAGCACCGGCUAACUACGUGCCAGCAGCCGCGGUAAUACGUAGGGUGCAAGCGUUGUCCGGAAUUACUGGGCGUAAAGAGUUCGUAGGCGGUUUGUCGCGUCGUUUGUGAAAACCAGCAGCUCAACUGCUGGCUUGCAGGCGAUACGGGCAGAAUUGAGGACUGCAGGGGAGACUGGAAUUCCUGGUGUAGCGGUGAAAUGCGCAGAUAUCAGGAGGAACACCGGUGGCGAAGGCGGGUCUCUGGGCAGUAACUGACGCUGAGGAACGAAAGCGUGGGUAGCGAACAGG